UGCCAGCAGCCGCGGUAAUACGAGGGGAGCAAGCGUUAUUCGGAAUUACUGGGCGUAAAGGAUGCGUAGGCGGCACUUUAAGUCGAUUGUUAAAUCUCACAGCCUAACUGUGAGGCUGCGGUCGAAACUGGGGUGCUAGAGUACGGGAGAGAGAAGUGGAAUUCUCGGAGUAGCGGUAAAAUGCGUAGAUCUCGAGAGGAACACCGAUGGCGAAGGCAGCUUCUUGGUCCGUAACUGACGCUAAAGCAUGAAGGCGUGGGGAGCAAACAGGAUUAGAUA
This 279-nucleotide ribosomal RNA is filed under the name uncultured bacterium. RNAcentral's name for it is "partial 16S ribosomal RNA". It matches the Rfam family "Bacterial small subunit ribosomal RNA", at positions 506 to 784 of the family's 1533-position model. The record is from RNAcentral.